AUUGAACGCUGGCGGCGUGCUUAACACAUGCAAGUCGUGCGGUAACAGGCGUAGCAAUACGUGCUGACGAGCGGCGAACGGGUGCGUAAUACAUGGGAAUCUGCCUUUUAGUGGGGAAUAACCCGGCGAAAGCCGGGCUAAUGCCGCAUAAGAUCUUCGGAUGAAAGCGGGGGAUCGUAAGACCUCGCGCUGAUAGAUGAGCCCAUGCCGGAUUAGCUAGNGGUGAGGUAACGGCUCACCAAGGCGACGAUCCGUAGCUGGUCUGAGAGGACGGCCAGCCACACUGGGACUGAGACACGGCCCAGACUCCUACGGGAGGCAGCAGUGGGGAAUAUUGGACAAUGGGGGAAACCCUGAUCCAGCGACGCCGCGUGUGUGAAGAAGGCCUGCGGGUUGUAAAGCACUUUCGGUAGGGAACG
Molecule: ribosomal RNA, 419 nt
Filed under: uncultured bacterium
Lineage: Bacteria
Description: bacterial SSU rRNA
Rfam family: Bacterial small subunit ribosomal RNA
Source: RNAcentral